CCUACGGGGAGCAGCAGUGGGGAAUAUUGGACAAUGGGCGAAAGCCUGAUCCAGCCAUGCCGCGUGUGUGAAGAAGGCCUUCGGGUUGUAAAGCACUUUCAGUGGGGAAGAAAGCCUUGGGGCUAAUACCCUCGAGGAAGGACAUCACCCACAGAAGAAGCACCGGCUAACUCCGUGCCAGCAGCCGCGGUAAUACGGAGGGUGCGAGCGUUAAUCGGAAUUACUGGGCGUAAAGCGCGCGUAGGCGGUCUGAUAAGCCGGUUGUGAAAGCCCCGGGCUCAACCUGGGAACGGCAUCCGGAACUGUCAGGCUAGAGUGCAGGAGAGGAAGGUAGAAUUCCCGGGGUAGCGGUGAAAUGCGUAGAGAUCGGGAGGAAUACCAGUGGCGAAGGCGGCCUUCUGGACUGACACUGACGCUGAGGUGCGAAAGCGUGGGUAGCAAACAGGAUUAGAUACCCUAGUAGUCC
This 466-nucleotide ribosomal RNA is filed under the name Vreelandella stevensii. RNAcentral's name for it is "partial 16S ribosomal RNA". It matches the Rfam family "Bacterial small subunit ribosomal RNA", at positions 338 to 796 of the family's 1533-position model. Lineage: Bacteria; Pseudomonadati; Pseudomonadota; Gammaproteobacteria; Oceanospirillales; Halomonadaceae. The record is from RNAcentral.